RNAcentral lists this transfer RNA (70 nucleotides) under Loxodonta africana (African savanna elephant). It matches the Rfam family "tRNA". From Rfam's summary of the family: Transfer RNA (tRNA) molecules are approximately 80 nucleotides in length. The record is from Rfam by way of RNAcentral. Lineage: Eukaryota; Metazoa; Chordata; Mammalia; Proboscidea; Elephantidae.
GCGUUGGUGGUUCAGUGGUAGAACCCUUGUCUUCUAUGUGGGAAACUUGGGUUGACUUCCAGCCAAUGCC